GAAAAAUGAGGGAAAAAAAAGAAUCACAAGUUGCACAUUGGUUUAUGCCAUAACUUUGGAUUCUCCAGAAUUGCAUAUUAUAGGGCUCCUUUUGUUUUCAUUCUGAUACUGCGUUGAAUAUAUACUUGGAAGGAAUUGUUGGUUAGUGUUGAAAUAUUGGGUGCAAAUCAGUUGGGUUACUUGGAGAUAAUGAUGGCCUGAAGAAGGGUAAAGUUAUAGUGGGGAGUAUAUUAUGAUCACUAUAUUUGUUUUCUAUUUCAUCAUGUGCCUGGAAUGACAGGAAUAAAUACAUAUUUCAUGGUUUUGGAUAGGGAUUAGGUCAUCAACAUAAUUUUUUGCAAGUUAUUAUUAGGUUUUCCUUGCCGAUAUUCUCUUGUCAGAACAGCAAGCCUGACUCGUCAUUUGAAUGUGUAGAAACUGUCCUUGGUCAAGGUGGGGAGUUUUUCUCCUUAUGAAUGCUGAACAUUUGGUUUGGCCUUUCUUCCCAGAUCUUGGCCAAUUGACCCUAUUGCGAUUUGUCAUCAUAGAUUUCUUUCCUCCUUUACCAUUACCCAUUUGAUGAUGAAAAUGAACCUUCUUUGCUCAUGUUUUAGUUACAUUGAGUGUCCUAGUUUAACAUUGUUGGAGUUGCUGACCUCAUCUGCCUAAUGAUCAUAGUUGCUUCAUUUGAGUCUGUUAUUUAAGAUGAACUGAUACAUCUGGUUGGUAUGGAAGUUGCUAUCAUAUGAUCUAAAAAUAUUUGAAGAAUAAAAGUUAAU
RNAcentral lists this unclassified non-coding RNA (758 nucleotides) under Hevea brasiliensis (rubber tree). Lineage: Eukaryota; Viridiplantae; Streptophyta; Magnoliopsida; Malpighiales; Euphorbiaceae. The record is from RNAcentral.